CAGUAGCGCGGUAAUACGUAGGUGGCGAGCGUUGUCCGGAAUUAUUGGGCGUAAAGGGAGCGCAGGCGGACAUAUAAGUCCAUCUUAAAAGUGCGGGGCUCAACCCCGUGAGGGGAUGGAAACUGUAUGCCUUGAGUGCAGGAGAGGAAAGCGGAAUUCCCAGUGUAGCGGUGAAAUGCGUAGAUAUUGGGAGGAACACCAGUGGCAAAGGCGGCUUUCUGGACUGUAACUGACGCUGAGGCUCGAAAGCCAGGGGAGCGAACGGGAUUAGAUACCCGCGUAGUCCCUGUCUCUUAUACAC
Molecule: ribosomal RNA, 301 nt
Filed under: uncultured bacterium
Lineage: Bacteria
Description: partial 16S ribosomal RNA
Rfam family: Bacterial small subunit ribosomal RNA
Source: RNAcentral